AUUGAACGCUGGCGGCAGGCCUAACACAUGCAAGUCGAACGAGUGGGGGAGGGGUGAGUAAUGUCUGGGAAACUGCCUGAGGGAGGGGGAUACCUACUGGAAACGGUAGCUAAUACGGCAUACCAUCGGAUGUGCCCAGAUGGGAUUAGCUUGUUGGUGGGGUAACGGCUCACCAAGGCGACGAUCCCUAGCUGGUCUGAGAGGAUGACCAUCCACACUGGAACUGAGACACGGUCCAGACUCCUACGGGAGGCAGCAGUGGGGAAUAUUGCACAAUGGGCGCAAGCCUGAUGCAGCCAUGCCGCGUGUGUGAAGAAGGCCUUCGGGUUGUAAAGCACUUUCAGCGGGGAGGCGUUACCCGCAGAAGAAGCACCGGCUAACUCCGUGCCAGCAGCCGCGGUAAUUC
This 406-nucleotide ribosomal RNA is filed under the name uncultured bacterium. RNAcentral describes it as "partial 16S ribosomal RNA". It matches the Rfam family "Bacterial small subunit ribosomal RNA", at positions 30 to 526 of the family's 1533-position model. The record is from RNAcentral.